This 28-nucleotide small RNA is filed under the name Bombyx mori (domestic silkworm). RNAcentral describes it as "ovarian small RNA-35962". Lineage: Eukaryota; Metazoa; Arthropoda; Insecta; Lepidoptera; Bombycidae. The record is from RNAcentral.
UGUGUUAAGUGUUUGGGCGAUCACGCCA